GCGGUUAGAGCAGGUGUCACCCCCAACGGCCCUCGGUGCGAGCAGGCGGCGGCGGUGGCAGCGGUGGUGUGUGGGGGGAGGCGCAGACAGUUGUGGCCGAGCAAACGCACAAGCGAGCCCACCUGAUAAACACCGGUUGAGCUGUAACUCCACAGUUAUGAAGAUAGUUCUGACGGAUGAAUUGUUACCAGAUAGCGUUUUAAUAUAAAUGGAGACGUUUCCAGUGGAAGCUGAGGAAACUUCAUAUUCUUCACUUUAUCACUGAAAAGAUUUCCAAUUGUAUCUGUUAUCCUAGUAAAUGAUUCACUGUGGGACAAUAGCCUGUUGCCUGUGAUAGAACUGAACGUAGCAUAAUGGAUUCAGAUGGAAGAACUGUGCAAACUUAUUUCUUCCAGGGCCAACAGGCCUAGUUAAAACUUUGUUAAUUGUGCUGUAAUGAUAUGUCUCCUCUUGGGAAUUACUAGUCUGUGAUGGGGACAUGGUGUUCCACAGGUGACUGCAAACUACUAACAUUCAGUGUUAGUAUAAAUUUUAAAUGACUACCUAAAUCCCUGUGAACUGCAUAAUCUUAAUGUAAAAGUAAUCUUUUUAAGGUACUUAGGAUAAUGGGAGCGCUUAAGUACUAUGUUUUUUUCACUUAUUUGAUAUAGUUCUUUUACCCUCAUGAAUAAAUUAGCAUGCCUA
RNAcentral lists this long non-coding RNA (684 nucleotides) under Struthio camelus australis. Its description in RNAcentral is "lncRNA (ENSSCUG00000007448.1)". The record is from RNAcentral. Lineage: Eukaryota; Metazoa; Chordata; Aves; Struthioniformes; Struthionidae.